UCCACAGUAGCCAGUGGUAGAGCUAUCGGCUGUUAACCGAUCGGUCGUAGGUUCGAGUCCUACCUGUGGAGCCA
Molecule: transfer RNA, 74 nt
Filed under: Staphylococcus aureus
Lineage: Bacteria; Bacillati; Bacillota; Bacilli; Caryophanales; Staphylococcaceae
Description: tRNA-Asn(gtt)
Rfam family: tRNA
About the family: Transfer RNA (tRNA) molecules are approximately 80 nucleotides in length. Their secondary structure includes four short double-helical elements and three loops (D, anti-codon, and T loops). Further hydrogen bonds mediate the characteristic L-shaped molecular structure. tRNAs have two regions of fundamental functional importance: the anti-codon, which is responsible for specific mRNA codon recognition, and the 3' end, to which the tRNAs corresponding amino acid is attached (by aminoacyl-tRNA synthetases). tRNAs cope with the degeneracy of the genetic code in two manners: having more than one tRNA (with a specific anti-codon) for a particular amino acid; and 'wobble' base-pairing, i.e. permitting non-standard base-pairing at the 3rd anti-codon position.
Source: RNAcentral